UUAAUUGAAUAGUUUGAUCAUGGCUCAGAUUGAACGCUGGCGGCAGGCCUAACACAUGCAAGUCGAGCGGCAGCACAGAGGAACUUGUUCCUUGGGUGGCGAGCGGCGGACGGGGGAGUAAUGCCUGGGAAAUUGCCCGGUAGAGGGGGAUAACCAUUGGAAACGAUGGCUAAUACCGCAUAACCUCGCAAGAGCAAAGCAGGGGACCUUCGGGCCUUGCGCUACCGGAUAUGCCCAGGUGG
This 242-nucleotide ribosomal RNA is filed under the name Vibrio cholerae. Its description in RNAcentral is "partial 16S ribosomal RNA". It matches the Rfam family "Bacterial small subunit ribosomal RNA", at positions 1 to 238 of the family's 1533-position model. Lineage: Bacteria; Pseudomonadati; Pseudomonadota; Gammaproteobacteria; Vibrionales; Vibrionaceae. The record is from RNAcentral.